UCAGAGAUGAUGAGGUAGAUAGGAUGGAAGUGGAAGUGCCGUGAGGCAUGGAGCGGACCAUUACUAAUCGGUCGAGGACUUAACCAAG
Molecule: ribosomal RNA, 88 nt
Filed under: Limosilactobacillus reuteri
Lineage: Bacteria; Bacillati; Bacillota; Bacilli; Lactobacillales; Lactobacillaceae
Description: Lactobacillus reuteri partial 23S ribosomal RNA
Rfam family: Bacterial large subunit ribosomal RNA
Source: RNAcentral